AAACUCAUGUAAGAUAAAAGUCAACCCAUGCAACAGGUUAUAUAAAUUGCUUUAAAUCAGCUGCUUUUUGUGAACACUGAAUAACUUGCUUCUAUUUCUUGCCUUUCUUUUAGCACUUAAAAAUGAAUUUAAGGUGUGUGAAAAGUGUGUGACUGACAGCUCUGGAAAUUGAACUCCCAUGUUUAAUCCCAGACGAGGUCCUGAAGCUGUGAGCAGACAUGGAGGAUGUGAUACUAUCCUUCAAAGUGGACAUGGACUAGAUGAUCAGAAGCUGUAUCU
This 279-nucleotide long non-coding RNA is filed under the name Cairina moschata (Muscovy duck). RNAcentral's name for it is "domestica (muscovy Duck (domestic type)) lncRNA (ENSCMMG00000012048.1)". The record is from RNAcentral. Lineage: Eukaryota; Metazoa; Chordata; Aves; Anseriformes; Anatidae.